AUACUAUCCUGCCAGAAGAGAGGCCAUCAUCUGGAAGGUAGUUUUCCCAGGGUAAGGUUUAUCAACUCUUCUCUGAAUGUGCUGACUCCUGCAAUUUCCCCAAAUGUAGGGAAUGCUACUGCAUAACUCUGACGGUAAGAAACUGAGUUCAUACUUUCCUC
Small nuclear RNA from Rattus norvegicus (Norway rat), 161 nucleotides. Ensembl annotates it as U1 spliceosomal RNA. The record is from Ensembl. Lineage: Eukaryota; Metazoa; Chordata; Mammalia; Rodentia; Muridae.